RNAcentral lists this unclassified non-coding RNA (253 nucleotides) under uncultured Alphaproteobacteria bacterium. Its description in RNAcentral is "contains 16S-23S intergenic spacer region". It matches the Rfam family "Bacterial small subunit ribosomal RNA", at positions 524 to 776 of the family's 1533-position model. Lineage: Bacteria; Pseudomonadati; Pseudomonadota; Alphaproteobacteria. The record is from RNAcentral.
UACGGAGGGGGUUAGCGUUGUUCGGAAUCACUGGGCUUAAAGCGUAUGUAGGCGGAACAGUAAGUCAGAAGUGAAAGCCUGGGGCUCAACCCCAGAACUGCUUUUGAAACUACUGUUCUAGAAUCCUGGAGAGGUUGGGAGAAUUCCGAGUGUAGAGGUGAAAUUCGCAGAUAUUCGGAGGAAUACCAGUGGCGUAGGCGCCAAACUGGACAGGUAUUGACGCUCAGAUACGAAAGCGUGGGGAGCAAACAGG